Molecule: ribosomal RNA, 736 nt
Filed under: uncultured bacterium
Lineage: Bacteria
Description: bacterial SSU rRNA
Rfam family: Bacterial small subunit ribosomal RNA
Source: RNAcentral
GCGAGCGGCGGAUGGGUGAGUAACACGUGGGGAACCUGCCCCUAAGUCUGGGAUACCAUUUGGAAACAGGUGCUAAUACCGGAUAAUAAAGCAGAUCGCAUGAUCAGCUUUUGAAAGGCGGCGUAAGCUGUCGCUAAGGGAUGGCCCCGCGGUGCAUUAGCUAGUUGGUAAGGUAACGGCUUACCAAGGCGACGAUGCAUAGCCGAGUUGAGAGACUGAUCGGCCACAUUGGGACUGAGACACGGCCCAAACUCCUACGGGAGGCAGCAGUAGGGAAUCUUCCACAAUGGACGCAAGUCUGAUGGAGCAACGCCGCGUGAGUGAAGAAGGUUUUCGGAUCGUAAAGCUCUGUUGUUGGUGAAGAAGGAUAGAGGUAGUAACUGGCCUUUAUUUGACGGUAAUCAACCAGAAAGUCACGGCUAACUACGUGCCAGCAGCCGCGGUAAUACGUAGGUGGCAAGCGUUGUCCGGAUUUAUUGGGCGUAAAGCGAGCGCAGGCGGAAAAAUAAGUCUAAUGUGAAAGCCCUCGGCUUAACCGAGGAACUGCAUCGGAAACUGUUUUUCUUGAGUGCAGAAGAGGAGAGUGGAACUCCAUGUGUAGCGGUGGAAUGCGUAGAUAUAUGGAAGAACACCAGUGGCGAAGGCGGCUCUCUGGUCUGCAACUGACGCUGAGGCUCGAAAGCAUGGGGUAGCGAACAGGAUUAGAUACCCUGGUAGUCCAUGCCGUAAACGAUGA